RNAcentral lists this ribosomal RNA (228 nucleotides) under uncultured bacterium. RNAcentral's name for it is "partial 16S ribosomal RNA". It matches the Rfam family "Bacterial small subunit ribosomal RNA", at positions 118 to 347 of the family's 1533-position model. The record is from RNAcentral.
UGGGCAACCUGCCCCAGACUCAGGGAUAACCCCGGGAAACCGGAGCUAAUACCCGAUACUCCGAUCGAACCACAUGGCUCGAUCGGGAAAGCUCCGACGGUCUGGGAUGGCCCGCGGCCUAUCAGCUUGUUGGUGGGGUAACGGCCUACCAAGGCGACGACGGGUAGCUGGUCUGAGAGGACGACCAGCCACACUGGAACUGAGAUACGGUCCAGACUCCUACGGGAG